AGUGAACGCUAGCGGUAGGCCUAACACAUGCAAGUCGAACGGCAGCACAGUAAGAGCUUGCUCUUACGGGUGGCGAGUGGCGGACGGGUGAGGAAUACAUCGGAAUCUACUUUUUCGUGGGGGAUAACGUAGGGAAACUUACGCUAAUACCGCAUACGACCUACGGGUGAAAGCAGGGGAUCUUCGGACCUUGCGCGAUUGAAUGAGCCGAUGUCGGAUUAGCUAGUUGGCGGGGUAAAGGCCCACCAAGGCGACGAUCCGUAGCUGGUCUGAGAGGAUGAUCAGCCACACUGGAACUGAGACACGGUCCAGACGCCUACGGGAGGCAGCAGUGGGGAAUAUUGGACAAUGGGCGCAAGCCUGAUCCAGCCAUACCGCGUGGGUGAAGAAGGCCUUCGGGUUGUAAAGCCCUUUUGUUGGGAAAGAAAAGCAGCAGGUUAAUACCCCGCUGUUCUGACGGUACCCAAAGAAUAAGCACCGGCGAACUUCGU
This 491-nucleotide ribosomal RNA is filed under the name uncultured bacterium. Its description in RNAcentral is "partial 16S ribosomal RNA". It matches the Rfam family "Bacterial small subunit ribosomal RNA", at positions 29 to 506 of the family's 1533-position model. The record is from RNAcentral.